CUUCCAACUCUACAAUUCGAUGAGUCUAUGUGCAGGGGGAGGAGGAACAUCCCAUUGCACAAGUGUAAAUCCGUGUGCAGAUGGGACAAUUAUGGCUGCAUGAAAUGCAAGCCAUGGUGUCUUGCCUCCAUAGAGUUUCCCCUCCAAUGUCCACUUAACUACAACGCUCUCUCUUGUUGCAAAACACUGAAAGCCAAAGUAGUGUCUUGUCUCAUUUCUGAUUUAGGGUUGUCGAUCAGUAUCCUGGAGGUGAUAUCUGGAGAAAGUGAGCAGUCGUUCUUCUUCCUCUCUCAUAGUGCGUCCAGUGAUGCUGCAUGGGUUUUGCAGCUUGGGAACUACUGCAGAAGGAAAAAGUUGGAAGCAAGCUUUGAAUGCACAAAAAGCCAAUUAUGAAGUAGGAUAUUUAGCACAAAUUAUAUGCUUCUAUGCCAAGCUAUGUGUUUAUCCACUUUUGCCAGGACAGCCUUGACCCAGCCACCAUGUCUGUAGACUUUUUCCAUGCAAAGAUAGAGGAGCUGGGUUGAACUAAUUUAAGAGUACAAAAGGUGAAAGGUUUUGAGUGACCUCCCACAGCUGUCCUCCAGGGACUCAGUUAUAAAUGAAAACAAUACAUUCUUUUUGGAAAUAUAUAACAACUUGGAACAAGGCAUGCCUGUAAUCUACAGCACACUUUGGGAGACCCAGAGCUCUUGGGAGGUAGAGAACAGAGAAGCAUUUGGGUAGGAGAAGAAAUGACAGGUCUCCUCUGAUUCUCUGCCCCCUCAAGUGCCUUCUCUCUGCAAUUCUUGGAUUAUGUUUUCUGCACUCACUUGGAGGAAAAUUGCUGUUAGUAUGAUUGCUGCUGGCACCCUGCUUCUCAGCUGGAUUGUGCCAAGCAGUGAAGUCAUUGUAAUGUUAUCAGGAUCAACUGUUAGCUCCCUUUCCUGGGGCAAAGCACAGAGGCCACUCCCUUCUCUGCAGGAACUCCCUGAAGCUGGCUGUACCUGAAGGCAUGCUGAGUAACUAUGCAAGGAAGUGGGAAGGGAAAAAAGUGAGACCUAAGGCCCAGCGGGGUCUUCACUCAGCCUGCACAUCAAAAUAAAUACUGUAGAAGGGAAAGGAAGAAGUAAUGAUUGGUGUUCAGUUUCCCCCCAACUCCUGUGAACAGCAAGCUGAGCAUUUCCCAAAGGGUCUCCAAAAGUAAAAAUAAAUAAAUCAGCUGAUAAUUCUCCAGCAGUCAGGGGGCAUUGCGAAAUACUUAAGGGAUGUCAGGCACAGGCCCAUGAUGACCACAAAUUUACAUAUAUUUUGUACAUAUGUUAAUUUAUAAGAUGUAUAUUUUCAAAUGCAGGGUGAUUCUAAGAGGGUGAAAAACAAACUUUGGCUAUAUAUAAAUUAAGAAGACAGGUACCCCUUGCAGCAUGACUAACCACUUUGUAAAAAAAAAAA
Non-coding RNA from Podarcis muralis (Common wall lizard), 1428 nucleotides. NCBI's taxonomy places the organism in Eukaryota, Metazoa, Chordata, Lepidosauria, Squamata, Lacertidae. The record is from RefSeq and is a predicted model, not a curated record.